GAUGAACGCUGGCGGCGUGCCUAAUACAUGCAAGUCGAGCGAACAGAUAAGGAGCUUGCCUCUUUGACGUUAGCGGCGGACGGGUGAGUAACACGUGGGUAACCUAUCUAUAAGACUGGAAUAACUCAGGGAAACCGGAGAUAACGUCGGAUCACAUGUUGAACCGCAUGGUUCUACGGUGAAAGGCGGAUUUGCUGUCACUUAUAGAUGGAACCGGGCCGGAUUAGCUAGUUGCUGGGGUAACGGCCAACCAAGGCAACGAUACGUAGCUGAUCUGAGAGGGUGAUCCGCCACACUGGAACUGAGACACGGUCCAGACUCCUACGGGAGGCAGCAGUGGGGAAUAUUCGGCAAUGGGCGAAAGCCUGACCGAGCCAUGCCGCGUGAGUGAAGAAGGUCUUCGGAUUGUAAAACUCUUUUAGUUGGGAAGAAGGAAUGCGUAAGUAACUGUGCGCGUCUUGACGGUACCUAAUCAGAAAGCCACGGCUAACUACGUG
Molecule: ribosomal RNA, 497 nt
Filed under: uncultured bacterium
Lineage: Bacteria
Description: partial 16S ribosomal RNA
Rfam family: Bacterial small subunit ribosomal RNA
Source: RNAcentral